Molecule: ribosomal RNA, 492 nt
Filed under: uncultured bacterium
Lineage: Bacteria
Description: partial 16S ribosomal RNA
Rfam family: Bacterial small subunit ribosomal RNA
Source: RNAcentral
AGUGAACGCUGGCGGUAGGCCUAACACAUGCAAGUCGAACGGCAGCACAGUAAGAGCUUGCUCUUACGGGUGGCGAGUGGCGGACGGGUGAGGAAUACAUCGGAAUCUACUUUUUCGUGGGGGAUAACGUAGGGAAACUUACGCUAAUACCGCAUACGACCUACGGGUGAAAGCAGGGGAUCUUCGGACCUUGCGCGAUUGAAUGAGCCGAGGUCGGAUUAGCUAGUUGGCGGGGUAAAGGCCCACCAAGGCGACGAUCCGUAGCUGGUCUGAGAGGAUGAUCGGCCACACUGGAACUGGGACACGGUCCAGACUCCUACGGGAGGCAGCAGUGGGGAAUAUUGGACAAUGGGCGCAAGCCUGAUCCAGCCAUACCGCGUGGGUGAAGAAGGCCUUCGGGUUGUAAAGCCCUUUUGUUGGGAAAGAAAAGCAGCAGGUUAAUACCCCGCUGUUCUGACGGUACCCAAAGAAUAAGCACCGGCUAACUUCGUG